RNAcentral lists this ribosomal RNA (498 nucleotides) under uncultured bacterium. Its description in RNAcentral is "partial 16S ribosomal RNA". It matches the Rfam family "Bacterial small subunit ribosomal RNA", at positions 28 to 523 of the family's 1533-position model. The record is from RNAcentral.
GAUGAACGCUAGCGGCAGGCCUAAUACAUGCAAGUCGAACGAUACUUUCCAGCUUGCUGGAAAGGAAAGUGGCGCACGGGUGCAUAACGCGUAUGCAACCUACCUUAAUCAGGGGGAUAGCCCGAAGAAAUUCGGAUUAACACCGCAUAAAAUCACAGUACAGCAUUGUACAAUGAUCAAAUAUUUAUAGGAUUAAGAUGGGCAUGCGUGACAUUAGCUAGGUGGCGGGGUAACGGCCCACCACGACGACGGUGUCUAGGGGAUCUGAGAGGAUGACCCCCCACACUGGUACUGAGACACGGACCAAACUCCUACGGGAGGCAGCAGUAAGGAAUAUUGGUCAAUGGAGGCAACUCUGAACCAGCCAUGCCGCGUGCAGGAAGACAGCCCUCUGGGUCGUAAACUGCUUUUAUUCGGGAAUAAACCUACUUACGUGUAAGUAGCUGAAUGUACCGAAGGAAUAAGGAUCGGCUAACUCCGUGCCAGCCGCCGCCGUAA